Molecule: long non-coding RNA, 168 nt
Organism: Hibiscus syriacus
Lineage: Eukaryota; Viridiplantae; Streptophyta; Magnoliopsida; Malvales; Malvaceae
Exons: 3
Source: RefSeq, a predicted model, not a curated record
CCCAGAACGGCGUCUCUUCUCUGGACUCGCUCUGCUCUUCAGAUGUACCAUCGUUGCCGCCAUUGCCAAGCACCACAGAUUCAGUGACAUUGAAACCAUCCAAUUCUCAUAAUGAUUCAUCGGAUUUGGCGGACUUGCCUCCGGAACCCGCUGUAAGGUUGCCAACAC